RNAcentral lists this long non-coding RNA (1463 nucleotides) under Xyrichtys novacula (pearly razorfish). The record is from RNAcentral. Lineage: Eukaryota; Metazoa; Chordata; Actinopteri; Labriformes; Labridae.
GGGUUAGGGUUAUGGUUAGGGUUAGGGUUGGAGCUAGGGUUAGGGUUAGGGUUAGGGUUGGAGUUAGGGUUAGUGUUGGAGCUAGGGUUAGGGUUGGGCUUGGAGCUAGGACUUUUCUGAGUGCAAUGAACCAACUCCCGAGUCUCUUGGACGUUCCCUAAAAAAAUUUGAUUUUUUCCCAUAGGAAUGCAUGGGUUAGGGUUAGGGUUAGGGUUGGAGCUAGGGUUAGGGUUAGGGUUAGGGUUGGAGUUAGGGUUAGUGUUGGAGCUAGGGUUAGGGUUGGGCUUGGAGCUAGGAUUUUCUGAGUGCACUGAACCAACUCCCGAGUCUCUAGGACAUUCCUAAAAAAAUUUGAUUUUUUCCCAUAGGAAUGCAUGGGUUAGGGUUAGGGUUAGGGUUGGAGCUAGGGUUAGGGUUAGGGUUAGGGUUGGAGUUAGGGUUAGUGUUGGAGCUAGGGUUAGGGUUGGGCUUGGAGCUAGGAUUUUUCUGAGUGCACUGAACCAACUCCCGAGUCUCUAGGACAUUCCUAAAAAAAUUUGAUUUUUUCCCAUAGGAAUGCAUGGGUUAGGGUUAGGGUUAGGGUUAGGGUUGGAGCUAGGGUUAGGGUUAGGGUUGGAGUUAGGGUUAGUGUUGGAGCUAGGGUUAGGGUUGGGCUUGGAGCUAGGAUUUUUCUGAGUGCAAUGAACCAACUCCCGAGUCUCUAGGACGUUCCUAAAAAAAUUUGAUUUUUUCCCAUAGGAAUGCAUGGGUUAGGGUUAGGGUCAGGGUUGGAGCUAGGGUUAGGGUUAGGGUUAAUGUUGGAGUUAGGGUUAGUGUUGGAGCUAGGGUUAGGGUUGGGCUUGGAGCUAGGAUUUUUCUGAGUGCACUGAACCAACUCCCGAGUCUCUAGGACGUUCCUAAAAAAAUUUGAUUUUUUCCCAUAGGAAUGCAUGGGUUAGGGUUAGGGUUAGGGUUGGAGGUAGGGUUAGGGUUAGGGUUAGGGUUGGAGUUAGGGUUAGUGUUGGAGCUAGGGUUAGGGUUGGGCUUGGAGCUAGGAUUUUUCUGAGUGCACUGAACCAACUCCCGAGUCUCUAGGACAUUCCUAAAAACAUUUGAUUUUUUCCCAUAGGAAUGCAUGGGUUAGGGUUAGGGUUAGGGUUGGAGCUAGGGUUAGGGUUAGGGUUAGGGUUGGAGUUAGGGUUAGUGUUGGAGCUAGGGUUAGGGUUGGGCUUGGAGCUAGGAUUUUUCUGAGUGCACUGAACCAACUCCCGAGUCUCUAGGACAUUCCUAAAAAAAUUUGAUUUUUUCCCAUAGGAAUGCAUGGGUUAGGGUUAUGGUUAGGGUUAGGGUUGGAGCUAGGGUUAGGGUUAGGGUUAGGGUUGGAGUUAGGGUUAGUGUUGGAGCUAGGGUUAGGGUUGGGCUUGGAGCUAGGACUUUUCUGAGUGCAAUGAACCAACUCCCGAGUCUCUUGGACGUUCCUAAAA